GCAGACACAUUCCAGCCAAUCAGCAGCAGACCCUCCCUCCGAGACCCUCCCACCUCCUGGACAGCAUCCAUUGUGAAGCUGCAUUCUUAGUGAGCUGUCCAGGAGGUGGAAGGGUCUGGGAGGGAGGGUCUGCUGCUGAUUGGCUGGAAUGUGUCUG
Molecule: non-coding RNA, 157 nt
Organism: Pelobates cultripes (western spadefoot toad)
Lineage: Eukaryota; Metazoa; Chordata; Amphibia; Anura; Pelobatidae
Source: the annotation of a GenBank genome assembly